Chlorocebus sabaeus (green monkey) is the source of this 84-nucleotide microRNA precursor. NCBI's taxonomy places the organism in Eukaryota, Metazoa, Chordata, Mammalia, Primates, Cercopithecidae. The record is from Ensembl.
GUAUUAGGUUGGUGCAAAAGUGAUUGCGGUUUUUGCAUUACUUUUAAUGGCAAAAACCACAAUCACUUUUGCAUCAACCUAACA